GUUUGCUUGUCGCUGGUUCAG
RNAcentral lists this non-coding RNA (21 nucleotides) under Arabidopsis thaliana (thale cress). The record is from RNAcentral. Lineage: Eukaryota; Viridiplantae; Streptophyta; Magnoliopsida; Brassicales; Brassicaceae.